Molecule: ribosomal RNA, 420 nt
Filed under: uncultured bacterium
Lineage: Bacteria
Description: bacterial SSU rRNA
Rfam family: Bacterial small subunit ribosomal RNA
Source: RNAcentral
GGGCCCGCACAAGCGGUGGAGCAUGUGGUUUAAUUCGAUGAUACGCGAGGAACCUUACCAGGGCUUAAAUGCAGAACGACAGAGGUGGAAACACCUCCUUCUUCGGACGGUCUGCAAGGUGCUGCAUGGUUGUCGUCAGCUCGUGCUGUGAAGUGUCGGGUUAAGUCCCAUAACGAGCGCAACCCCUAUUUCUAGUUGCCAGCGGUUCGGCCGGGGACUCUAGAGAAACUGCCAGCGUAAGCUGUGAGGAAGGUGGGGAUGACGUCAAAUCAUCACGGCCCUUACGUCCUGGGCUACACACGUGCUACAAUGGUAGGGACAGAGAGUUGCCAACCCGCGAGGGUGAGCUAAUCUUCAAACCCUUAAAAGAUACCUCAGUUCGGAUUGCACUCUGCAACUCGAGUGCAUGAAGCUGGAAUU